Long non-coding RNA from Glycine soja, 543 nucleotides. RefSeq lists it as uncharacterized. NCBI's taxonomy places the organism in Eukaryota, Viridiplantae, Streptophyta, Magnoliopsida, Fabales, Fabaceae. The transcript is spliced from 2 exons. The record is from RefSeq and is a predicted model, not a curated record.
UUCUCAACUUGCAAUUAGCCACACAUAUCAUAUACAGAUUUUGUAUUGUUAGAAAUGGCCCUCCUCCUCUUCCGUGCCUCCAAAUUGAUGUCAUUUGCUGCUCUUUUAGCAAUACUUUUACUGCUUAUGUCCUCCACAAUGGGAAGUGCUGCUCAGCCUAGUUUUAAGCUCGUGCGAAAGCUUCUCCAAACUAAAUACCCGCCUGCUUAUCCUGGAUAUCCUGGUGGUGGAGGAUAUAGCCCAAAAACACCAUGAAAUCAUCAACCAUGCCAAGGGGGAAAUAAUUACCAAUACCACAGAACUGCUCUGUUGCUGAAAUAUUGGAGAUGUUAGCAUCGUUCUUUAAUAUAAGUGCCAGUACUAUAAGAGUGCUAAAUUUAAAAUUACUUUUAUAGCAUGCAUACAUGUAUGUAUGUGCCAGUACAAUAGGAUAAUAAUAUAUGUAUUUAAUUUCGACGAACCAUGUGUACCACUACUAUCAGUCACAACCAAUAAGUGGCUAGACCAGUUGAAUUGCAACGAAUAAAUUUGUCAUUCUUCUUU